CGGCAUGCCUAAUACAUGCAAGUCGAACGCUGAAACACUCUGCUUGCAGAGUGUGGAUGAGUGGCGAACGGGUGAGUAACACGUGGGGAAUCUGCCUAUAAGUGGGGGAUAACAUUCGGAAACGGAUGCUAAUACCGCAUAUAUUCUUGGACCGCCUGGUCCUUGAAAGAAAGACGGCUUUGCUGUCGCUUAUAGAUGAUCCCGCGGCGUAUUAGUUAGUUGGUGGGGUAAUGGCCUACCAAGACCAUGAUACGUAGCCGACCUGAGAGGGUGAUCGGCCACACUGGGACUGAGACACGGCCCAGACUCCUACGGGAGGCAGCAGUAGGGAAUCUUCCACAAUGGGUGCAAACCUGAUGGAGCAAUGCCGCGUGAAUGAAGAAGGUCUUCGGAUCGUAAAGUUCUGUUAUUAGAGAAGAACAAGUCAAGGAGUAACUGUCUUGACUUUGACGGUACCUAACCAGAAAGUCACGGCUAACUACGUGCCCAGCCGCCGCGGUUAAUAC
Molecule: ribosomal RNA, 506 nt
Filed under: uncultured bacterium
Lineage: Bacteria
Description: bacterial SSU rRNA
Rfam family: Bacterial small subunit ribosomal RNA
Source: RNAcentral